CAUACCUUCUACCUGGGAAUUCCCUACAAGUUUUCUGAACACCUUCUUUUCUCUAUAUGUACUAUUUCACUUAAUGAUUGAUAAAAUAGGGUCCUAUGGUUUCAAUAAUUAUAUCUACAUUUAUGAUUCUUAGAUCUACUUGUACAAUUCUAACCUCUCUCUCAACCUCCAAUCUUCAACUGACAACUGCCUUUUAGACAACUCAAACUAGAAUGCUGCAGACAUCUUAUAGUCAACAUGUACAAAACUUACUUCAUUAUCUUUCCACCAAAGACUAAACUUUUCCUAACUUCCCUAUUCUGUCAAGAAUACCUCCAGCCUCUUAAUCACCAAGUUCAAAAAUAUAGGUUGUCAUUCUUGACAACAUACUUUCUACUCAACACUCCUAUAUCCAAACAGUGAUCAAAUCCUAUUAUUUGCACUUUCCAGAUGUCUUUUGUUAAUUUCCUCUUUUCUUUUAUGAUAUUGCCACCAUCAUGGUCUAGAUCCUCAUUAUCUUACUUCUGGACUAUUCUAAUAACCACUGAUCUCUCUGACUGAAGUCUCUUCACUUUGUUAUCUUUCUUCCACUCCAGUAUAUGGGGUACUCAGACAAGACUAGGCCCACUAAUGAUAAGGUAUGCUGACCUGCUUGUCCAUCUUUGAUAUUCAUGAUCAUUUCUUCCAUUCUCCAAGCUUUUCAUGUGGUCCAAGAAGCUGUAACAUGUGGAGUAGCUAUGUUAUACUGCCCAUUCUUGGCAGUUUCCUACCAUUUCUGAACGAAAAUUAUCUACUAUGACAUUUAAAAGAUUAUUGAGGACAUUUGCUGCUCUGCAUAUUUUCUCCAACAAAUACCUGAACAUUUGAAGUCACCCAGGAGCAUCAAGUCAUUUGUUCUAACCAUCUGUUCCAUUUCCCUUAACAACUGUGCAUCCUCAUCAUUCCUUUGAUUAUAACUCCUGUUGUGUCUGUUGUGAGUAAAUAAGCUACAGAGCACCUCAUGCUCCCAAUGUAUAACCAUGUAAAAUGGGCUCACUGUGUGAUAUGCUGACAGGAUGUGAGAGAAGAAGCAGUCAAUGUUAGAAAAAUCCAAUGGGUCAUCAGGACUCCUACUGUGUUCUGCCAAGUCCUACUGAUCUGAAGCAAGUCAUCCAGUUUAUUUAAAAUAGUCCCCAAUUAAAGCCACCAUGCAGUGCUAUGUUAAAUAAGUGAAUCAGGUCAAUUCAUUUGGAAAACGCAACUAAAAUAAUGGCCAAAUUCUUGUAAGAAGCAAACUUUGUGCUUUUCAAAAGUUAUAUAGGUCUAACCUGUGAAUGGUUUCUCUAUAUAAAUUGAUGAAUGGACUAUCUCCUCCCAUCUCUUACCGAAUGCUCUAUCCAAACUCCCACCUUGAGGACUUGGGGUAGAAGAAAGAUGCCCUAUAUCUUCCAUCACCUAAUAACUCUUAUAUACUCUCAACUUUACUGGAGCACAAAGUUCCUGGAAUCUUUUAGGCUUGUCUUAGUGUUAUAGCAAAAUAUAGCUAUAUAUUUUGCUCUGGAAAGAGAGCUAGAAGUAUUUAAUGUGUAUUAUUGGAAUAUACACCAAAGAGAAAUUCUUAGCUUAGUAAUGAACAUGUCAAUUUGGUAUAAAAUGAAGAAAUAAACAUUCAAACCACCCAGGAAAUCAUUUGCUCAAGAACAAAAAAAAUGUAUCAAUAAUUACUAAAAAUCAUAAAGGCAAUCCAAGAAAUAGAAAUAUCAACAUUGUUCCUACAAUAAAGGUGUCACUGCAUUGUCUAUUCUCAAUAUAGCUGGCAAUUUGUGGAUCACGUAUAUUAUAGUAGUGGGGGAAAAGAGAGAGGGAGAAAAAA
Molecule: long non-coding RNA, 1831 nt
Organism: Sarcophilus harrisii (Tasmanian devil)
Lineage: Eukaryota; Metazoa; Chordata; Mammalia; Dasyuromorphia; Dasyuridae
Exons: 2
Source: RefSeq, a predicted model, not a curated record